This 163-nucleotide ribosomal RNA is filed under the name Heptapleurum sepikianum. RNAcentral's name for it is "Schefflera sepikiana 5.8S ribosomal RNA". It matches the Rfam family "5.8S ribosomal RNA". From Rfam's summary of the family: 5.8S ribosomal RNA (5.8S rRNA) is a component of the large subunit of the eukaryotic ribosome. It is transcribed by RNA polymerase I as part of the 45S precursor that also contains 18S and 28S rRNA. Functionally, it is thought that 5.8S rRNA may be involved in ribosome translocation. Lineage: Eukaryota; Viridiplantae; Streptophyta; Magnoliopsida; Apiales; Araliaceae. The record is from RNAcentral.
ACAAACGACUCUCGGCAACGGAUAUCUCGGCUCUCGCAUCGAUGAAGAACGUAGCGAAAUGCGAUACUUGGUGUGAAUUGCAGAAUCCCGUGAACCAUCGAGUCUUUGAACGCAAGUUGCGCCCGAAGCCAUUAGGUUGAGGGCACGUCUGCCUGGGCGUCAC